This 647-nucleotide ribosomal RNA is filed under the name uncultured Eubacteriales bacterium. RNAcentral describes it as "bacterial SSU rRNA". It matches the Rfam family "Bacterial small subunit ribosomal RNA", at positions 52 to 712 of the family's 1533-position model. The record is from RNAcentral. Lineage: Bacteria; Bacillati; Bacillota; Clostridia; Eubacteriales.
AGCGAUGAAACUUUAACAGAACCCUUCGGGGCGAAGAUAAAGUGGAUUAGCGGCGGACGGGUGAGUAACACGUGAGUAACCUGCCUUAGACAUUGGGAUAGCCUCGGGAAACCGGGAUUAAUACCAAAUAAAAUCAUAAUGACACAUGUCAUAACGAUCAAAACUCCGGUGGUCUAAGAUGGACUCGCGUCCCAUUAGCUAGUUGGUAGAGUAAAAGCCUACCAAGGCGACGAUGGGUAGCCGGCCUGAGAGGGUGAACGGCCACAUUGGAACUGAGAAACGGUCCAAACUCCUACGGGAGGCAGCAGUGGGGAAUAUUGCACAAUGGAGGGAACUCUGAUGCAGCGACGCCGCGUGAACGAAGAAGGCUUUCGAGUCGUAAAGUUCUUUUAUAUGGGAAGAUAAUGACGGUACCAUAAGAAAAAGCCCCGGUUAACUACGUGCCAGCAGCCGCGGUAAUACGUAGGGGGCUAGCGUUGUCCGGAAUCACUGGGCGUAAAGGGUUCGCAGGCGGAAAUGCAAGUCAGAUGUAAAAGGCAGUAGCUUAACUACUGUAAGCAUUUGAAACUGCAUAUCUUGAGAAGAGUAGAGGUAAGUGGAAUUUUUAGUGUAGCGGUGAAAUGCGUAGAUAUUAAAAAGAAUACCGG